UUGGUUGAACUUGGUUCAAACUGAAAUCAAUGGGACAAGCUACUAUUGAUUUCAAGUCCCAUUGAUUUCGGUUUGAGUUAAGUUCAGCU
Non-coding RNA from Podarcis lilfordi (Lilford's wall lizard), 89 nucleotides. The record is from the annotation of a GenBank genome assembly. Lineage: Eukaryota; Metazoa; Chordata; Lepidosauria; Squamata; Lacertidae.